UUUCGCAAUGCCCGAAAGGGUGACGAAGCGACGCCGCGUGUGGGAAGAAGGCCUUCGGGUUGUAAACCACUGUCGGGAGUUAGGAAAUGCAGGUGCGUUGAUAGCGCACUUGCUUGACUAAGGCUCCAGAGGAAGCCACGGCUAACUCUGUGCCAGCAGCCGCGGUAAUACAGAGGCGGCAAGCGUUGUUCGGAAUUAUUGGGCGUAAAGAGCACGUAGGCGGCCUUGCAAGUCAGUUGUGAAAGCCUUCCGCUUAACGGAAGAACGGCAUCUGAUACUACAGGGCUUGAGUACGGGAGGGGAGAGUGGAACUUCUGGUGGAGCGGUGAAAUGCGUAGAUAUCAGAAGGAACGCCGGCGGCGAAAGCGACUCUCUGGUCCGAAACUGACGCUGAGUGUGCGAAAGCUAGGGGAGCAAACGGGAUUAGAUACCCCGGUAGUCCUAGCCGUAAACGAUGGGCACUAAGUAGAGGGGUUUU
RNAcentral lists this ribosomal RNA (478 nucleotides) under uncultured Planctomycetales bacterium. RNAcentral's name for it is "bacterial SSU rRNA". It matches the Rfam family "Bacterial small subunit ribosomal RNA", at positions 364 to 832 of the family's 1533-position model. Lineage: Bacteria; Pseudomonadati; Planctomycetota; Planctomycetia; Planctomycetales. The record is from RNAcentral.